Ictalurus furcatus (blue catfish) is the source of this 602-nucleotide long non-coding RNA. RefSeq lists it as uncharacterized. The record is from RefSeq and is a predicted model, not a curated record. Lineage: Eukaryota; Metazoa; Chordata; Actinopteri; Siluriformes; Ictaluridae. The transcript is spliced from 3 exons.
CUCUCUCUCUCUCUCUCUCAAACACAAGCGCGUGUACCUAUGUCGUUGCCAUGGAGAUAUAAACAAACCGAAAACAUAAUUUAAUGCUGUGGCGUGAGUUAGCGAGAGUGAACUAAUCACAGGAAGGAUAAAAAUGGAUGGUAAAAAGAUGCCAGGAGGAGCUGAAAAAGAAAUCCUCAUGUCUUUAGACAAUACGACACUUCUAAACAAAGUUCUGGUCUUGGGCAUUAGACUCCCGGGCUGAAAAUGGGUCCCACUCCGGCCCUGAAUACAUCUGUUUCCAAAAGCCACCAGAAUUUGUUAGAGAACAUACCCAAACAAACAGCAUCACGAAGACCAACGAGCUAUCCCCAGGACAAAGUUCUUGAAAAGAGGUCUCCCAUCAAACGUUAGCGCCUGGGUAAGGAGGCAUUAGUCAGACAAGCAACCAAUAGACAAUCCCUUUGGUAACUCUGAAGGAGCUGGAUAAAUCCACAGCUCACACGGGAGUAGCUGUUCACAUGACAACCACAGCCAGGACCUUUAAAAAAAACCUUGGUGAUAGCAUCCUAUUGUGGGUAUGCUUUUCAUCCACAGGAAUUUGGAAACUGGGCAAUAUUGAG